CAAUAGCGUAUAUUAAAGUUGUUGCAGUUAAAAAGCUCGUAGUUGGAUUUGUGGCGUACGGUGUGUUCCGGGCACUUGUUGUCUGAGUAACCUGCUGUUGCCAUCCUUGGGUGGAACCUGUGUGGCAUUAGGUUGUCGUGCAGGGGAUGCCCAUCAUUUACUGUGAAAAAAUUAGAGUGUUCAAAGCAGGCUUAUGCCGUUGAAUAUAUUAGCAUGGAAUAAUGAGAUAGGACUUUUUUGCUAUUUUGUUGGUUUGCGCAAAGAGGUAAUGAUUAAUAGGGACAGUUGGGGGUAUUCGUAUUCCAUAGUCAGAGGUGAAAUUCUUGGAUUUUUGGAAGACGAACUACUGCGAAAGCAUUUACCAAGGAUGUUUUCAUUAA
Molecule: ribosomal RNA, 380 nt
Filed under: uncultured eukaryote
Lineage: Eukaryota
Description: partial 18S ribosomal RNA
Rfam family: Eukaryotic small subunit ribosomal RNA
Source: RNAcentral